AUUGAACGCUGGCGGCAGGCCUAACACAUGCAAGUCGAGCGGGGUUUUCGGACCUAGCGGCGGACGGGUGAGUAAUGCGUAGGAAACUACCCGAUAGAGGGGGAUACCAGUUGGAAACGACUGUUAAUACCGCAUAAUGUCUACGGACCAAAGUGUGGGACCUUCGGGCCACAUGCUAUCGGAUGCGCCUACGUGGGAUUAGCUAGUUGGUGAGGUAAUGGCUCACCAAGGCGACGAUCUCUAGCUGGUUUGAGAGGAUGAUCAGCCACACUGGAACUGAGACACGGUCCAGACUCCUACGGGAGGCAGCAGUGGGG
This 317-nucleotide ribosomal RNA is filed under the name uncultured bacterium. RNAcentral's name for it is "bacterial SSU rRNA". It matches the Rfam family "Bacterial small subunit ribosomal RNA", at positions 30 to 359 of the family's 1533-position model. The record is from RNAcentral.